This 298-nucleotide ribosomal RNA is filed under the name uncultured bacterium. RNAcentral's name for it is "partial 16S ribosomal RNA". It matches the Rfam family "Bacterial small subunit ribosomal RNA", at positions 29 to 355 of the family's 1533-position model. The record is from RNAcentral.
AACGAACGCUGGCGGCAGGCCUAACACAUGCAAGUCGAACGCCGUAGCAAUACGGAGUGGCAGACGGGUGAGUAACACGUGGGAACGUACCCUUCGGUUCGGAAUAACUCAGGGAAACUUGAGCUAAUACCGGAUACGUCCGAGAGGAGAAAGAUUUAUCGCCGAGGGAUCGGCCCGCGUCUGAUUAGCUUGUUGGUGAGGUAACGGCUCACCAAGGCGACGAUCAGUAGCUGGCUGAGAGGAUGAUCAGCCACACUGGGACUGAGACACGGCCCAGACUCCUACGGGAGGCAGCAGU